GAACGUGGGUUGCCAAAUAAUGCAAAUCGAGCGGAACAAAGGGCAGCUUGGUCCCGGAAUGUUAUCGGCGUCAAGGGUGAGUAACACGUGGGUAACCUGCCUGUGAGACUGGGAUAACUCCGGGAAACCGGAGCUAAUACCGGAUAGUUCCUUGAACCGCAUGGUUCAAGGAUGAAAGACGGUUUCGGCUGUCACUUACAGAUGGACCCGCGGCGCAUUAUCUAGUUGGUGAGGUAACGGCUCACCAAGGCGACAAUGCGUAUCCGACCUGAGAGGGUGAUCGGCCACACUGGGACUGAGACACGGCCCACACUCCUACGGGAGGCAGCACUAUGGAAUCUUCCGCAAUGGACAAAAGUCUGACAGAGCAACGCCCCGUGAGUGAUGAAGGUUUUCGGAUCGUAAAGCUCUGUUGUUAGGGAAGAACAAGUGCAAGAGUAACUGCUUGCACCUUGACGGUACCUAACCAGAAAGCCACGGCUAACUACGUGCCACCAGCCGCGGUAAUACGUAUGUGGCAAGCGUUGUCCGGAAUUAUUGGGCGUAAAGGGCUCGCACGCGGUUUCUUAAGUCUGAUGUGAAAGCCCCCGGCUCACCCGGGGAGGGUCAUUGUAAACUGGGAAACUUGAGUGCACAAAAGGAGAGUGGAAUUCCCCGUGUAUCGGUGAAAUGCGUAUAGAUGUGGAGGAACACCACUGGCGAAAGCGACUCUCUGGUCUGUAACUGACACUCAGGAGCGAAAGCGUGGGGAGCGAACAGGAUUAUAUACCCUCGUAGUCCACAAAAA
Molecule: ribosomal RNA, 787 nt
Filed under: Bacillus pumilus
Lineage: Bacteria; Bacillati; Bacillota; Bacilli; Caryophanales; Bacillaceae
Description: bacterial SSU rRNA
Rfam family: Bacterial small subunit ribosomal RNA
Source: RNAcentral